This 460-nucleotide ribosomal RNA is filed under the name uncultured Treponema sp. RNAcentral describes it as "partial 16S ribosomal RNA". It matches the Rfam family "Bacterial small subunit ribosomal RNA", at positions 341 to 792 of the family's 1533-position model. Lineage: Bacteria; Pseudomonadati; Spirochaetota; Spirochaetia; Treponematales; Treponemataceae. The record is from RNAcentral.
ACGGAAGGCAGCAGCUAAGAAUAUUCCGCAAUGGGGGAAACCCUGACGGAGCGACGCCGCGUGGAUGAUGAAGGCCGGAAGGUUGUAAAAUCCUUUUAUUACCGAGGAAUAAGCAUUUCAGGGAAUGGGAGUGCGGUGACUGUAGGUAAUGAAUAAGCAACGGCUAAUUACGUGCCAGCAGCCGCGGUAACACGUAAGUUGCGAGCGUUGCUCGGAAUUAUUGGGCGGAAAGGGCAUGUAGGCGGCCGCUCAAGUCUGGAGUGGAAUGCACGGGCUCAACCCGUGAACUGCUUUGGAAACUGGGGGGGCUAGAGUCGCCGAGGCGGAGCCGGAAUUCCAGGUGUAGGGGUGAAAUCUGUAGAUAUCUGGAAGAACACCGAUGGCGAAGGCAGGCUUCGAGCGGACGACUGACGCUGAGGUGCGAAGGUGCGGGGAGCAAACAGGAUUAGAUACCCUGGUA